GCAAUUUCUCAGCCUUUUAGCUAAGACCAAGUGUAGUAUCUGUUCUUACCAGUUUAAUAUCAGAUACAUCCUCUAUGUGAGGACAAUAUAUUAAAUGGGUUUUUGGAGCAAGGAGAUGCAGAUAGGAGUUUGUUUUAUCCACUCCAUGUAUUGAGCUGGUAUUGCUAUAUUACCAGGAAUGGUGAAACCCUC
This 192-nucleotide small nuclear RNA is filed under the name Dasypus novemcinctus (nine-banded armadillo). Its description in RNAcentral is "U2 spliceosomal RNA (ENSDNOG00000028894.1)". It matches the Rfam family "U2 spliceosomal RNA". From Rfam's summary of the family: U2 is a small nuclear RNA (snRNA) component of the spliceosome (involved in pre-mRNA splicing). Complementary binding between U2 snRNA (in an area lying towards the 5' end but 3' to hairpin I) and the branchpoint sequence (BPS) of the intron results the bulging out of an unpaired adenosine, on the BPS, which initiates a nucleophilic attack at the intronic 5' splice site, thus starting the first of two transesterification reactions that mediate splicing. Lineage: Eukaryota; Metazoa; Chordata; Mammalia; Cingulata; Dasypodidae. The record is from RNAcentral.